Molecule: ribosomal RNA, 437 nt
Filed under: uncultured bacterium
Lineage: Bacteria
Description: partial 16S ribosomal RNA
Rfam family: Bacterial small subunit ribosomal RNA
Source: RNAcentral
AGCGAACGCUGGCGGCAGGCUUAACACAUGCAAGUCGAGCGGGCAUCCUUGUGGUGUCAGCGGCAGACGGGUGAGUAACGCGUGGGAACGUGCCCUUCGGUUCGUAAUAACUCAGGGAAACUUGAGCUAAUACCGGAUACGUGCGAGAGCAGAAAGGUUUAUCUGCCGAAGGAUCGGCCCGCGUCUGAUUAGCUAGUUGGUGAGGUUAUGGCUCACCAAGGCGACGAUCAGUAGCUGGUCUGAGAGGAUGAUCAGCCACACUGGGACUGAGACACGGCCCAGACUCCUACGGGAGGCAGCAGUGGGGAAUAUUGGACAAUGGGGGAAAGCCUGAUCCAGCCAUGCCGCGUGAGUGAUGACGGACUUAGGGUUGUAAAGCUCUUUUCUUCGGGACGAUAAUGACGGUACCGGAGGAAUAAGCCCCGGCUAACUUCGUG